GCCGAGAUGGUGGAAUUGGUAGACACGCAGCGUUCAGGUCGCUGUGGGCGUAAGCUCAUGGGAGUUCGAGUCUCCCUCUCGGCA
This 84-nucleotide transfer RNA is filed under the name Candidatus Kaiserbacteria bacterium RIFCSPHIGHO2_01_FULL_48_10. RNAcentral's name for it is "tRNA-Leu". It matches the Rfam family "tRNA". Rfam says of the family: Transfer RNA (tRNA) molecules are approximately 80 nucleotides in length. Their secondary structure includes four short double-helical elements and three loops (D, anti-codon, and T loops). Lineage: Bacteria; Candidatus Kaiseribacteriota. RNAcentral also lists the same sequence under 2 other names. The record is from RNAcentral.